Oncorhynchus keta (chum salmon) is the source of this 466-nucleotide long non-coding RNA. RefSeq lists it as uncharacterized. NCBI's taxonomy places the organism in Eukaryota, Metazoa, Chordata, Actinopteri, Salmoniformes, Salmonidae. The transcript has 5 exons. The record is from RefSeq and is a predicted model, not a curated record.
GCCAGGUUAAGGCCAGGUGACUACAGGCUGGGUUAAGGCCAGGUGACUACAGGCUGGGUUAAGGCCAGGUGACUACAGGCUGGGUUAAGGCCAGGUGACUACAGGCUGGGUUAAGGCCAGGUGACUACAGGCUGGGUUAAGGCCAGGUGACUACAGGCCAGGUGACUACAGGCUGGGUUAAGGCCAGGUGACUACAGGCCAGGUGACUACAGGCUGGGUUAAGGCCAGGUGACUACAGGCCAGGUUAAGGCCAGGUAACUACAGGCCAGGUGACUACAGGCCAGGUUAAGGCCAGGUAACUACAGGCCAGGUGACUACAGGCCAGGUUAAGGCCAGGUGACUACAGGCCGGGUUAAGGCCAGGUGACUACAGGCCGGGUUAAGGCCAGGUGACUACAGGCCGGGUUAAGGCCAGGUGACUACAGGCCAGGUGACUACAGGCCGGGUUAAGGCCAGGUGACUACAGG